RNAcentral lists this small RNA (568 nucleotides) under Pan troglodytes (chimpanzee). Its description in RNAcentral is "retained intron". Lineage: Eukaryota; Metazoa; Chordata; Mammalia; Primates; Hominidae. The record is from RNAcentral.
UUUCCGCUCGGCUGUUUUCCUGCGCGGGAGCCGCAGGGCCGUAGGCAGCCAUGGCGCCCAGCCGGAAUGGCAUGGUCUUGAAGCCCCACUUCCACAAGGACUGGCAGCGGCGCGUGGCCACGUGGUUCAACCAGCCGGCCCGGAAGAUCCGCAGACGUAAGGCCCGGCAAGCCAAGGCGCGCCGCAUCGCCCCGCGCCCCGCGUCGGGGCCCAUCCGGCCCAUCGUGCGCUGCCCCACGGUUCGGUACCACACGAAGGUGCGCGCCGGCCGCGGCUUCAGCCUGGAGGAGCUCAGGGUGGCCGGCAUUCACAAGAAGGUGGCCCGGACCAUCGGCAUUUCUGUGGAUCCGAGGAGGCGGAACAAGUCCACGGAGUCCCUGCAGGCCAACGUGCAGCGGCUGAAGGAGUACCGCUCCAAACUCAUCCUCUUCCCCAGGAAGCCCUCGGCCCCCAAGAAGGGAGACAGUUCUGUGAGUACACGGCUCUCUGGCCGUCCUGGUGCGCGGGGACAGUGAGGCUUGGCUCCUUUAUCAGUGACACCCGUCCCUGGGUCUUGCUGGGGUGAGAA